UACCAGACUUGCAGUCCUUCUCCACAGCUGUGUUCUUUGCCGAUCGCAGAUUGCAGUCCUUUGUGAUUCCAGGAUAAAUCCAUUUUGCUGGUAAAAUAACUGGCUGUUUCCUUGUUUUAGGUUAGCAACCCCCUCCCAAGGCCAAGGCCACACCUGCUUCAAAGCAGGCUUGAAGAGCAGACUGGAAGCCUCCUAUGACGGAAGCUAGGUUCUUUGGGACUCAGUGACCUCUGUGCUGAGCGGAUACUCCUUCAGAAAGGCUUUUCCUUUGUUCUUCCAGAGACCCAGCGCCUCGUCUGUUUCCCUACGUGUGGCUCUAGGUGGCCUGAAAAAAGCAAGUUAUCCUGACGGCAUCUUCAGCUGCACGACUUGCUGACCAGCCCCGUGCUCGGCCUGAGAGAGGGAACCUUAGUAGAGGAUGUACCGGGGCCAGAGCCGGAGAAGGACGUUUUGGACCCAUGGGCGCGCCUGUUCACAGACGCAGAGGCUCGGAGAGCCUGCGUGUCCAGGACGACGCGUAUCAGGAGAGGGGGUCCCUGGCUGUGUUCCCGCUCUGUCCUCCCUAUAGCUCCCCGCACACCCGGAUGUGGCCCCGUGGAGCCGGCCCCCGGGGGCCCGGCAGCUCUCAGAGCGUCUGAGAUGCUGGUCUCCCUGGAAGGCUGCUUCCUCUGCUCAAAGUGGCCCUCCGUUUCUCACUUUUCUGUUUCGAAGGCUGCAUACAAGUGUACCUUCGGCAUGCGUCUCUUUUGGAGAACCUGUCACCUUGAAAGUCGUGCUGCCCAUACAGCAACCCCCCCCCCAGCAUGGGGAGGGGCCCUUCCCGAAGCCAGUGACCAAGAAAGAAUGCUUUUCUCGCUUGCUGAAGCCGAAGCCCUUCCCAGCCUGUGGGCUCUCACUCCCUCUGCCCCGGGUUCUGACGGCUUCUGGUGACCGGCAGCCCCGUCUGUCCCUUCACGCUCUCCCCGGUGGGACCGGGGGCCUCCACGGCCUGGGCCUGCUCGUCUCGGUCUGACCUCCGGAGGUCACCUCUCAGUCGCUCUCCUGAAACCACCUGCAGGUCUCCUGGCCUUGUGGCCUUGUGGGUGAUCUCAGGGCCCCCCAUUUCUGCUCCUCCCCAUGGACUGCUCCUGGGUCCUCUUCCAGAAAGCUCUCUGAGUCUCUGCAAGUGUUGGAGGCACUGUCUCAACCAGGACCCCCUUUCUCUCCUGCCUUCAGGGACUGUCCCCAGCUGCCAGCAUGCCCACUUUAUUUGCGCUCACACGGCCUCGAGCAGGUACCCCUGCCCUCUGGUCUCCAGAGAGUGACUGUUGGGAGCAAACGUUCUUGCCACGUCCUGGCUCCUUCCAACCCGUGCGUGUGCUGCCCAUCGCUUGGCCUUCUCCCUGGCCGUGCCGCGGCCCCCGCUCUGGAUCCCGGGCCGUUCUGCCUGCGUGAGGACCUCACUGCACCAGCGGGGCCCCACCUCCUGCCCCCGUCCGUCACCCCCCUGGCUCCCCAGUCCCAGCAGAUACAGGCUCCCAAGCCUUUACCUUCGCAGGGAGCUGCGCACGUGGGCCCUUGAGCUGUCUUUUCUGAACACCGCCCUCUCACAGCCAGAGAGGAGCCAGCACACUGGUGACGGCCUGCCCCUGCUCACUCCAACUCCUCAUCCCGCAGAAAGGCCCAUCACCCAGUCACUGAAAGUGCUCCCCAGCGGAUCACCCGAGGCCCGCCAGAUCCAAAUUUAGGAAUUCUCCACAUACACACCUUGACGCCUCAUUUAUUUCAUACCCUACGAAAACCAUCCUCCUUGCGAAGAGACGCCAAGGUCAGGUUGCCGUGGUAACGCUCACGUUCUUGGCCACCUGCCCGCCCGAACCAGAGGGAUGCCCCCCAGAGCCCGGUCCAGAAUGUGAGUGGGAAGCAGUGGGAAGACACUGCUCCUGGGCACGGGCGUGAGCAGCAGGGCUUGAGCGCAAAGCCUGUACUUGGAAGAGGGGUGUGUGCUGCUCCUGUGUAGUAACAGCUCAACAGACGCUAGAAGUCUCCAGUCCGGGGGUUUCUGGCCAAGCCUCAGGGGUCCCUCUGGCCCACUGUCCCCCGGGACAGACUCAGGCCUCUGCUUCAGAGGGUCCAGACGUGACCAGGGUGGCCGAGCUCCUGCCUCGGGAAUGGGAGAGGCAGAGGCAGCCCUCUGCAGGGCCCACGGGGCCUCCUUCUGCGGCCACCAAAGGUUCCCAGGCCACCGCCACCAGCAGUCGCUCCGAGUCAGACAGAUGCGUGGGGGAGAAGAAGGCAGGGGAGCAGCGGGUGGGGCCGCACCCACCCCAACGCCCAGGCCACCCCACGGGGCAGAAGCGCGAGUCUGACUUGUCCGCUGUCUUGGGUCAGCAGCGUCGCUGCUGAAAACUGACCCUGGCACUGUCCACCCUCCCAAGUUCCAGGGGCUAGGCAGAGACACGUGAGGGAUGUGUGAGUUCUCAUGCCUGUGCCAGUUAGUGGCGGAGUCCAAGCUUUUUCAACCUUACCUUCUGCUUGCUGGGAUCUGGUGGCAGGAGCUGAGGACAGCACGGGGCCCAGGAUGACACCCGCUGCCCCUCGCUGAGGCGUCUUUCGCUCUGAGUGUCUUACACCCAAGGCACUCUGUCUGCCCCUGGACGCCCCCCGCCCCCCGCCAGGCCCAUAGCACCGAGCUCCGGGCACCCCUGCUCACG
Molecule: long non-coding RNA, 2693 nt
Filed under: Sus scrofa (pig)
Lineage: Eukaryota; Metazoa; Chordata; Mammalia; Artiodactyla; Suidae
Description: lncRNA (ENSSSCG00030000950.1)
Source: RNAcentral